RNAcentral lists this ribosomal RNA (230 nucleotides) under uncultured Comamonadaceae bacterium. RNAcentral's name for it is "partial 16S ribosomal RNA". It matches the Rfam family "Bacterial small subunit ribosomal RNA", at positions 1148 to 1382 of the family's 1533-position model. The record is from RNAcentral. Lineage: Bacteria; Pseudomonadati; Pseudomonadota; Betaproteobacteria; Burkholderiales; Comamonadaceae.
ACUGCCGGUGACAACCGGAGGAAGUGGGGAUGACGUCAAGUCCUCAUGGCCCGUUAUAGUGGGGCUACACACGUCAUACAAUGGCCGGUACAAAGGGCUGCCAACCGCAGGGGAGCCAAUCCCAUAAACCGGUCGUAGUCCGGAUCGCAGUCUGCAACUCCGACUGCGUGAAGUCGGAAUCGCUAGUAAUCGUGGAUCAGAAUGUCACGGUGAAUACGUUCCCGGGUCUU